AUUGAACGCUGGCGGCAUGCCUUACACAUGCAAGUCGAACGGUAACGGGCCUUCGGGUGCCGACGAGUGGCGCACGGGUGAGUAAUACAUCGGAACGUGCCCGAUCGUGGGGGAUAACGAGGCGAAAGCUUUGCUAAUACCGCAUACGAUCUACGGAUGAAAGCAGGGGACCGCAAGGCCUUGCGCGGACGGAGCGGCCGAUGGCAGAUUAGGUAGUUGGUGGGAUAAAAGCUUACCAAGCCGACGAUCUGUAGCUGGUCUGAGAGGAUGAUCAGCCACACUGGGACUGAGACACGGCCCAGACUCCUACGGGAGGCAGCAGUGGGGAAUCUUGGACAAUGGGCGCAAGCCUGAUCCAGCCAUGCCGCGUGCAGGAUGAAGGCCUUCGGGUUGUAAACUGCUUUUGUACGGAACGAAAAGCCUUCUUUUAAUACAGGAGGGUCAUGACGGUACCGGAAGAAUAAGCACCGGCUAACUACGUG
RNAcentral lists this ribosomal RNA (482 nucleotides) under uncultured bacterium. RNAcentral describes it as "partial 16S ribosomal RNA". It matches the Rfam family "Bacterial small subunit ribosomal RNA", at positions 30 to 507 of the family's 1533-position model. The record is from RNAcentral.